CACUUCUGUUUCUCUUUUGAGUUGCUAUAAAGUACAGACGAUUCUACCAACCUUGACACAAACGCCCAGCUGCCCCCAGUUCAGUGCCACAGAGAAAAGCCUUGCAGAACAGGUUGAGUUUGUGGAUGGGCAUGGGGUAGAAGGUAUCAUCUCUUCUCUAUCAAUGACUUGGGUGAUACUUCUGGCAACAAAACAGACAGUUCUCGGCCUCUGUGUUUUCAUUGUCCAACUGAAGAUUAGACAAGAGGCAGCAUGGGGUGGUGGAUAAAUCGUGGACCAGGAUUGAAGCGAAGAUCUGCUCAUCUGGGACACUCACCAGGUUGCAUUCCGUAGAAGCAGAUCCUGAUAAGAUGAUGAAGUGCACAUGUCUCUUGAGAAAAUGCUCUCAGGAGAAGGGGGGAAGGUAAGCCAGGUGCAGCAGAGGACUGAGCAAGGUUGGGGUCUCAGCUGGACACUUCUUGGACCUGUUCCCACGGGAGCUCUGGAGUAUGAACUGUACCACAGAAUUGUCUCACCUAGAGGUAAGGGGCCUGCCUUUUGUACCCUAUGCCAGUCAUGGAUUACAUGCUGCCCCUGGUGGGAAGGUGGGGAACCUCCCAAUGGCGAUUCUCUGAGGAGGGCAGCUGUGAUUUCCUUAGCAGACAACACUCUCAGCAGCUGGGAGAUGGGUGUAGCAACCACUCUCCAUGAGACCACCCAUUCUCACCCCCUCCAACAGCAAGCAUGCCUGAGCAGGUGGGUCCCAAGAUCUAUAUUCUCAGAAAAAUUGGGAAACUAAGCUUUAGUCUGCUAGCCUAAGCCACAUUUACAGCCUGAAGGGUAUGUUGUCCUUUCCCAGCGAUCACAAAAAGGAUGCUUUAUUUUCUGUUUGGCUUCUAGUUCUUUUGAACACAGAAAACUCUGUCCGGGACCCUGGAGGGGAGAAGCAAAGGGAGUUGGAGGGUUACCAAAACCUUUCUCUCAUUCCACAUUAGACACUGCCUGUAUGGAGAGAGGUGUGUGAUACAGAGAAGAGUCAAAGUGACUCAAAGUCUCAGCUGAGAGGUGCUACUAAUGGACAUCAGCUCCCACAAGCCGCUGCUGGAAACCCUCCCUGGCUUUGGACAGCACUUGGCUUAGAUUCCAAACUCUGCAUCCCAUCACCAAAGCCUCACCUCAUCUAAUCACUGGCCACCUCUCUAACCUCAUCUCCUCCCACUCUCCUGUUAUCAUGCUCCAGCAGCUCAGCAUCUUUUCUGUUUGGGGCCUUGGCUCUCUCAGGGCUUUGGUGCUUGCUGUUCCCUGCACCUGGAAUAGUUUCCUCCCUGGAGAAGCCAAUGUUGGUCACUCAGUCCAAAGAGGUCCACACCCCUAACCCAUCACCACCUAAACUAUCAUUUCCUGCUAUUUCUCUUCUUCAUUUAUUGCUUGUUUAUUGGAUUCUCUCACCCCUCUCUAAAAUGCAAGCUCCACGAGAACACAGAUAUUGGCUAAAUUACUUGUGGCUGUAACAUCAGUGACUACAAGUAGGAAGGUCAGGGAAGGGAGCUAUUUGAGAGUGAAGGAGGAGGAAGAAUCAUAUAUAAUAUUUGGUAGAAGCUGUGAUUGAUGUUCCAGUGAAAUAUGUGGAUGGAAAUGCCCAGGAGACAGCUAGAGAUGCCUGGCUAGACCCAAGAGAGUUUGAGCCUGGGAUACAUAUUUCGGAGUCCUUCCCAUAAAGCUAAUAGCUAAAGUCGAUAUGGAAGAGAAGACAGUGAAGAGCAGAGCCUUAGGCAACACCCACAUUCUGGAGAUUUAUUUUAUCAUGUUACCUAGAAUGUUCCUCCAUCUCCUAUUAAGCACCCCUCUCUCAAACUGAAGUUGCAGCUUAAGAAUUACUUGCCUCUUUCCCCACAUUUAUAAUCCCUGCCCCCUGUUGCAGAUGCAGAACAGCAACCCAAGUCCCUUCUGGAAGCAGCCCUCUCCCUCCUGGCAGCUGACAGAAGUCUCUCUGGCCAGGCCGGCCUUUUGGCUGCUCUGCAUAUGGAAGUUCAAUUACUGUCAAUGGGAGGCCCAUCGGCAGGGUGAGGGCAGAAUACACAAUGGAGAUCGGUGUACCAGAUAGGCGCCUAGAUCAAAGAAGAACCCAGAGUUUGUGAAGUCCUUUCAUCCUCCCUGAUGAAAGGGAGAAGCUUACUGCUGUUUUCAUGGCUCUGCAUGCCCGGGGAAAGAGGAAGGCCACAGGAAGGUGACAGCUGAGGCAGGUCUGGCUCCUGGAGGAUGGGACACACAACGUGGGAACCGGCAAGUCACCAGAGUCAUCUCAGCCAAGAUCAACCAAUAGUCAAUUACCAGGAACGUGAGAGAAUUCUGAGACCAGGACUGCUCAGCCACCUCUGCCUAAAAUACCAACACACAGAACAGUAAAGUGAAUGGAUGUUUAUUAUCCUAAGCCACUAUAUUUUGAGAUUGUACCUCAUGCAGCACUAUUAUGACCAUAGGUGACUGAUAUAAAAAGUAAGGAAUUAUGAAUCAUAAGAAAAAGAUGAACCAAGGAAAGAAUCAGCUUUGAAGAGGUGGUAAACUAUGGGAGUUGGGUAUGCUUUUCUGCAAUGAUCUUGUCUUAUUUUCUUUUUUUUUAAAGGAAGGCCUACCUGAAUAAUUCUGUGCAGGAAGAUAAAAGCAAGAUUAGAGUGAGACCUAUUCAGGGAGGUGUCAUUUUGUGAGCAGUUCAUGACCAUACCCAAUAAUCAGGGUCUGUCUACAUAUCUGAAUUUUAAUCCUUACAUAUAUGGCCUUAGAUGAACUAAAAUAAUUAUAAGAAGUUGUGUCAUUGUAGACUUCUAUUAAUAAACAUAUACCUACAUAUAUACAUGUUUAUGCACAAGAAUCAGCCUGUAUAGGCAUAUUUACCUAGGCAUAUUCAUUGCAUAGUGCUCUCAUGGUUGUGACUUGGGUGGGUGUAGCAAAGUGACAGGCCAGGAUCUCACCACAUAGGAAGAACUUUGGUCUGGCCAAGACAGGGCCAGCUAGUGGCCUCCCUGCCAUUAGCUCUGUCUGCCACCCAAGACAGAAGAAGCCAACAGUCCAAAGGGACAUAGCAGCUUCAUUUUGGUUCUAGUUAGUGGUGCCAUAGAAGAGGAACAGGCAGAUAGGAUCUCAUCUAGGCCAUGAGACAAGCAAGAGUUCUCAAGAAGGGUAGACUCUUAGAAACAGGAGGCCAGUGAGACAUGGAUCUAAGAGGCAUAGCCAGGUAGAAGCAGCCCUAGUCAAUGGCUAGAAGUAUAAUAUCCCAAUAAAAGAGGCAUUCUUAGAAAGCUGGGCAGCAUCUCAGGACCACACAUGAUUGGGGAAAAGGGGUUGGUGAGGGGCAGACCCAGCCAGUUAGGCCUGUAGGUGCUGGGACAGGGUGGGGGAUGCAUUGUACCCACAGAAUAAAGCCAUAAGGGUGAAUAGCAAGAGCCACAUUGUGGAUCACCCUGGAGCAGGUGUCAGAGUGAAGCCUGACAUAUGGAAGCUCUAGGAACACAAUGGUAACCAGGGGAAUAGAGGAAGAAAGAGAGGUUUCAAGGCCUCAGUAAAGCUGAGACUCAGGAACAGCAGGUGUGCACAAGUGCUAAGUGGUCUGGAUUAAUUCACGAGCUGGGUGCCAAUGCCUGGCUCAGCUUCUAUGGGCUCCUGGAGGAUCCUUAAGAGGUGAUAAAGUUCAGGUAAAGACAGUGGACUGGGACCAGGCAGAGCCUGGGAUCCUGGGGUCAUAUCCAGCCCAUUACCAAAUCCUGUCAAUUAAACUUCCAAAAUGUCUCUGAGAUCUGCCUGGGGCUCUCAGCAUCUUUCCCACCAUUGUCUCUUGUCUUGAUUUAGGCAGUGGUCCUUACUUGUCUUCCUGUACGGCUGCCAGAGGGGAAUUUUAAAUAUAUAGUUUGGAUUGCAUCAUUCUCCCUGUUUAAAACCCUCCAAGGCUUUCUGGAUUCUUUCCCAAUAGUUUCAAACACUUUACUCUGAGCGUCUUUGUCCCAUGCAUGCCAUUCUCCCCCUUUCUUGCAGCUGCAGACACAGUGACCAGGCCUUGGUUGUAUGAUGCCUCCAGCUCGUUUCUAAGUUAGGACCUUCGCUUUUGCUCUUCCCUUUACCUGUAGGCUCUUUCUCCCGCUCCUCAUGGGGCUGCCUCUUUCUCUUCAUUCA
Molecule: long non-coding RNA, 4143 nt
Filed under: Homo sapiens (human)
Lineage: Eukaryota; Metazoa; Chordata; Mammalia; Primates; Hominidae
Description: HSALNT0311398
Source: RNAcentral